UGAACGCUAGCGGCAGGGUUAACACAUGCAAGUCGAGGGGCAGGCAUGUCCAGCAAUGGAUGAUGGCGACCGGCGGAAGGGUGCGUAACGCGUGAGCAACAUGCCCUAUACAGGGAGAUACACCAGGGAAACUUGGUCUAAUAUCCCAUAGCAUUCAUUGAAGGCAUCUUUAAUGAAUUAAAGCUUCGGUGGUAUAGGAUUGGCUCGCGUGACAUUAGCCAGAUGGUGAGGUAACGGCUCACCAUAGCAAUGAUGUCUAGGGGUUUUGAGAGGAAGGCCCCCCACACUGGGACUGAGACACGGCCCAGACUCCUACGGGAGGCAGCAGUGAGGAAUAUUGGACAAUGGAUGGAAAUCUGAUCCAGCCAUGCCGCGUGCAGGAAGACGGCCUUAUGGGUUGUAAACUGCUUUUAUACGGGAGCAAUAAGGGUUACGAGUAAUCCGAUGAGAGUACUGUAUGAAUAAGGAUCGGCUAACUCCGUGCCAGCAGCCGCGGUAAUACGGAGGAUCCGAGCGUUAUCCGGAAUUAUUGGGUUUAAAGGGUGCGUAGGCGGCCAUUUAAGUCAGCGGUGAAAUUUUGCAGCUUAACUGUAACAGUGCCGUUGAUACUGUUUGGCUAGGAUUUGGUUGUAGUGUGCGGAAUGUGUGGUGUAGCGGUGAAAUGCUUAGAUAUCACACAGAACACCGAUUGCGAAGGCAGCACACUAAGUCAUUAUUGACGCUGAGGCACGAAAGUGUGGGGAUCAAACAGGAUUAGAUACCCUGGUAGUCCACACUGUAAACGAUGAUAACUCGCUGUCGGCGAUACACAGUCGGGGCCAAGCGAAAGC
RNAcentral lists this ribosomal RNA (830 nucleotides) under uncultured bacterium. RNAcentral's name for it is "bacterial SSU rRNA". It matches the Rfam family "Bacterial small subunit ribosomal RNA", at positions 30 to 858 of the family's 1533-position model. The record is from RNAcentral.